This is a long non-coding RNA of Oncorhynchus tshawytscha (Chinook salmon), 799 nucleotides long. Lineage: Eukaryota; Metazoa; Chordata; Actinopteri; Salmoniformes; Salmonidae. The record is from Ensembl.
GGCUGACCAGAUUCAGAGGUUAAGACCAGAUUCAGAGGUUAAGAACAGAUUCAGAGGUUAAGGCCAGAUUCAGAGGUUAAGGCCAGAUUCAGAGGUUAAGGCCAGAUUCAGAGGUUAAGGCCAGAUUCAGAGGUUAAGGCCAGAUUCAGAGGUUAAGGCCAGAUUCAGAGGUUAAGUAGAGGUUAAGGCCAGCUGGAGAGGUUAAGGCCAGCUGGAGAGGUUAAGGCCAGCUGGAGAGGUUAAGGCCAGAUGGAGAGGUAGAGGUUAAGACCAGAUGGAGAGGUAGAGGUUAAGACCAGAUGGAGAGGUUAAGACCAGAUGGAGAGGUUAAGGUAGAGGUUAAGACCAGAUGGAGAGGUUAAGGCCAGACGGAGAGGUUACGGCCAGACGGAGAGGUUACGGCCAGACGGAGAGGUUACGGCCAAACGGAGAGGUUACGGCCAGACGGAGAGGUUACGGCCAGACGGAGAGGUUACGGCCAGACGGGGAGGUUAAGGCCAGAUGGAGAGGUUAAGACCAGAUGGAGAGGUUAAGGUAGAGGUUAAGACCAGAUGGAGAGGUUAAGGUAGAGGUUAAGGCCAAAUGGAGAGGUUAAGGCCAGACGGAGAGGUUACGGCCAGACGGAGAGGUUAAGACCAGACGGAGAGGUUAAGACCAGACGGAGAGGUUAAGACCAGACGGAGAGGUUAAGACCAGACGGAGAGGUUAAGACCAGACGGAGAGGUUAAGACCAGAUGGAGGUUAAGACCAGAUGGAGAGGUUAAGGUAGAGGUUAAGGCCAAAUGGAGAGGUUAAGGCC